AACGAACGCUGGCGGCAUGCCUAACACAUGCAAGUCGAACGAGACCUUCGGUUCUAGUGUCGCACGGGUGCGUAACGCUUGGUAACCUGCCCUUAGGUUCGGAAUAACUCCCCGAAAAGUUUGCUAAUACCGGAUAAUUUCUUCGUACCAAUGCUUUAUCGCCUUUGGAUGGGGCCGCGCUUGAUUAGCUAGUGGUUAGGGUACAAGCAUACCAAGGCGACGAUCCAUAGCUGGUGGGAGAGGAUGAUCAGCGAGACUGGGACUGAGACACGACCCAGACGCCUACGGGCGGCAGCAGAGGGGACACAUGGACAAGAGGCGAAAGCCUGAACCAGCAAUGGCGGGUGAGUGAUGAAGGGGUUAGGGUUGUCAAGCAGUAUUAGCGGAGAUGAUAAUGACAGUACCGGGAGAAGAAGCACCGGCUAACUCCGUG
Molecule: ribosomal RNA, 433 nt
Filed under: uncultured bacterium
Lineage: Bacteria
Description: partial 16S ribosomal RNA
Rfam family: Bacterial small subunit ribosomal RNA
Source: RNAcentral